This 115-nucleotide ribosomal RNA is filed under the name Pectobacterium odoriferum. The record is from RNAcentral. Lineage: Bacteria; Pseudomonadati; Pseudomonadota; Gammaproteobacteria; Enterobacterales; Pectobacteriaceae.
CCUGGCGGCGAUAGCGCGGUGGUCCCACCUGACCCCAUGCCGAACUCAGAAGUGAAACGCCGUAGCGCCGAUGGUAGUGUGGGGCUUCCCAUGUGAGAGUAGGGAACUGCCAGGU